GGGACGGGGCCUGCAGGCAGAAGUGGGGCUGACAGGGCAGAGGGUUGCGCCCCCUCACCACCCCUUCUGCCUGCAGCGGUGGGCU
Molecule: non-coding RNA, 85 nt
Organism: Homo sapiens (human)
Lineage: Eukaryota; Metazoa; Chordata; Mammalia; Primates; Hominidae
Product: microRNA 6511b-1
Exons: 1
Source: RefSeq, marked provisional